Molecule: long non-coding RNA, 199 nt
Filed under: Elaeis guineensis (African oil palm)
Lineage: Eukaryota; Viridiplantae; Streptophyta; Magnoliopsida; Arecales; Arecaceae
Description: long non-coding RNA (EGUI_LNC020251)
Source: RNAcentral
AAGCUGAGUAUAAAGCCCUCAUCACCCAACUCUAGCUUGUGAAAGAACUCAGGAUAAAAGACCUCAAGGUCUUCCUCGAGUCGUAGCUUAUCGUUGGACAAGUCUAGGGUGAAUACGAGGUCCAAUGAUGAUCAGGUAUCUACAAAAACUCAAGGAGAUGUCAACAGCCUUCCAAACCUUGAAAGUCUAAUAGAUACCA